UACGAAGGGGGCGAGCGCUAUCCAGAAUGAUUGGGCGUAAAGUGUCCGUAGACGGUUAUAAGAUUGUUUUAAGUCAAAGAUUAAACUAGUAAAUUAAAUUUGCUUUUAAUACUUUUUAACUAGAGUACAGUAGAGGAUAAUAGAACUUCAUACAUAAGAGUAAAAUCUAAUCAUUUAUGAAAGAAUGUCGGAGGCGAAAGCGAUUAUCUGGACUGUUACUGACGUUGAGGGUCGAAAGCAUAGGGAGCAAACAGG
Molecule: ribosomal RNA, 255 nt
Filed under: uncultured bacterium
Lineage: Bacteria
Description: partial 16S ribosomal RNA
Rfam family: Bacterial small subunit ribosomal RNA
Source: RNAcentral